GUGUGGGCACUACCAAGCCGGGUGGACCGACGAGAGCACCUGCUUGGCGUGCAGAAGGACCUGGGUUCAAUCCCCAGCAGCACCU
Molecule: non-coding RNA, 85 nt
Organism: Podarcis lilfordi (Lilford's wall lizard)
Lineage: Eukaryota; Metazoa; Chordata; Lepidosauria; Squamata; Lacertidae
Source: the annotation of a GenBank genome assembly